Molecule: long non-coding RNA, 725 nt
Filed under: Chinchilla lanigera (long-tailed chinchilla)
Lineage: Eukaryota; Metazoa; Chordata; Mammalia; Rodentia; Chinchillidae
Description: lncRNA (ENSCLAG00000028465.1)
Source: RNAcentral
CCUGGCACCCCAGAAUCCCCUGGACUCCAGCAUCUCUACCCUCCUGGAGACCCCACAGAGGCCAUUGUCCUGCCUCCAGGGCUCCUGGGCUCUGGAGCUCUGUCCAGCCUCCUGCCCCGAUGUUUCUGAAGAAGCCGUUCAGCUGUGGGGCCCACCCGCCACAGCCCCUCUCUGGACGCCUCCCCGGCCCAGCCAAGCAUGUUCUUCAGGUCCCCGGAUGACAAAUGGUUGAGAAACAACGCCGAAGCCGGCCCUACCACACACCGAGCCCCCAGGAUGCCGGGCUCUGAGUGCCCUGGCUCCCUGUCCCCAGACCCAGAAGCGGUGCCUGGGAAACACGAGGCACUCGUCAAGCGCUGCCGGGCUGGAUACAUGGCGGCGGGCUGCGGAAAUGCCCAGAGGAUCCCUACCUCUCCGAGCACAAGAGGAAGCAUCAGCAAGCACGGAGGCUCAGAGGAGUCAUGUGUUGGAGGAAGAGGAAGAAGGCCGGGGUGGGGCCGUUGUGGUAAGGGAAGGGCAAGAAACCUAGCCAGAUGGACCAAAGAAAAAGAGAGAAGACGUGUUUUACCAAAGAGUACAGUGAUGGAUGAGUUGUGUGUCAGCUGCUCGUUGCUGCAAUGAAGUGCCUGAGGUAAGUGACCUGUAAAGAGGAAAUGUGUGUUAUGUCUCAUGGUUCUGGAGUGAGAGCCAAGACUGGGGCCCCUGGUCCUGGCCCUCUGGUGAGA